UUUUGAAUAACCAUACCAUAAACAGAAUCUACGAAAACUAUUGCGGUAAAUAGAUGCCGUUACGUCGGCGGCCUUUACAGUCUUACAAUAUAUAAAGAAGGCAUCAGUGAAAUCAUAAGGAAGACUAGUGUGAAAACAUCACCAUGAAAAUCUAGUCCACUAACUGCAAAUUUAAUUAAUUUUUGCAAAUCAAAAGCAACGCUAGCAGAGAACGACGAAAUCAGCAGCACCGGUAAGUUUGACGGCAGCGGCGUCACUCACAGCGUCAGGAACCACGUGGACAAACGCAAAAACCAACACAAUGUCAAACAGCAGCGCUGCUUCCAAGAGCAGCCUCCACAUCUGCAACACCGUUCGUGUUUAGCUGUCUCUUCGGCUUU
This is a long non-coding RNA of Bactrocera latifrons, 380 nucleotides long. RefSeq lists it as uncharacterized. The transcript is spliced from 4 exons. The record is from RefSeq and is a predicted model, not a curated record. NCBI's taxonomy places the organism in Eukaryota, Metazoa, Arthropoda, Insecta, Diptera, Tephritidae.